GGCUGUUCCAGCGCAAAAUAAUGGCGCCCUCUGUCGUUCUAAUCGCGCCAAUCGAAAAUCUCCGUAAAAUGACGUCACCGACACUCUUCGUGGGUCGGGCCAAGCGAGUUUCGUAUCAUGAAUAUUUAUAUCUGGGAAUAUUUGGAAUGUCAUUGGUAGAUUAAUCGGUCAAAGUUCAAAAUGUUUCUUAUUCACAAGGCUGUUAUUUUCCCCUUAUUUCCAUAUAUGAAUAUCAGCUCAUGAAUAUUAAAUUACUGAAAACGGCGUCCGUCAAAACUGGUGUUCGACCGAACUGAUUAUCGCGGUGUGCGGUCAUGUGACAAAUUUGUCACAUUAAAAGGUGUUUUUCUCCAAACAAGAGGUUUUCCCCGAUGUAAGGCCCACAUCAACUUUGUUUUGGAGAUACGUGCUGCAUAUGUGUCCGGUUUGAAGGAAGUUUGCAGUAUCAUUCUCCUGACAAGAGGGUUUCUCGUAUCUUCUGGAGCUCUGGUGAGAUGGUGGUGUGAUGAGCCGUUGACUUCUCGUGAUGAGCCGUAGCGUACAGUGGAAGUGAAUCUUUCAUCCCAUAUUUGUGCAUGGAGGAUCAGGAUUACACAGACAUGAGCAUGUGUUGGGUGUAUUUUUGGUAACUGAAUGUGUGCAAAACUGUGUGAUGCCAUGUGCACUGCUAGAUUUGAACAAACCCUGCACCACCUUGAUCCGACACAUUAAGAACUUCUAUUGUCUACUUGCCAAGGAAUCACUCUGGAAUUUAAGCUCAGGAUUCACACGUCACACAUGAUCACUCGCGAUGGACUAGUUCUCGCUCCCAUAAUAUCGGACAUGUUUACAUUUUAAUGCCCAUUUAUGGCCAUUGACUGGAUCACCUCUGCACAUGUGCAGUACAAUUUUGUUUUUUGGAAAAUGAUAUUUACAUUCUGAUUUCUCGUGCAUGGCCAUCGCAAAACUGACUCGUACAUGUACCAUAAACAGUAGGCAAAAUGGUCAUGUCUCUACUGAAACUGCAUUAAUGACAACAUUGUUGCCACUUUGAAUGGGCUGGAUCCAUGCUUACAUUAUCAUUGUGAUUUUGUACAUAAGGGCAGAAUUGUGACCUAGGCUAAUUUGUAUACAUUGGUAGGAAUUCCUCCAGGACUACUGCGAACGACACUCCCAAGUGCCAAAAUUAUGAAUUGAAAUACAACUGGAUAUUAACUUUCACUGAAAAUCAACUAAUUGUUGACACUACUAAAAUGCUAUUAUUACAUUAGAUAUUUUUAUCGGCGCUUUUUUUAAAGUAAGUCAAUAGGCUACUAAUAACAAGUUUUAAGUUGGCCUUCUUUUCCAUACUUUAAAACAGAUGAGACUUUUACGUGUACAUUGUAUGUGGAUUGCUUUUUUAGGUGUACUGUGACCAAUGGGAGACCAAAGGAUUUCACUAAAUUGGCCGCCAACUUAAAUAAUGAAAUAAAGUAAAAAAUAAAUAUUACCCUGCCAGUUUUUAAAUCUAA
This 1490-nucleotide long non-coding RNA is filed under the name Patiria miniata (bat star). RNAcentral's name for it is "uncharacterized LOC119731234". Lineage: Eukaryota; Metazoa; Echinodermata; Asteroidea; Valvatida; Asterinidae. The record is from RNAcentral.